GACGAACGCUGGCGGCGUGCCUAACACAUGCAAGUCGAGCGGGGUCCAUCCAGUGGCAACACUGGGGAAGACCUAGCGGCGAACGGGUGAGUAACACGUGAGAAACCUGCCCUGAAGUCUGGGAUAACCCGAGGAAACUCGAGCUAAUACCGGAUGCCCCCACCGAGUCGCAUGGCUUGGUGAGGAAAGAUUCAUCGCUUCAGGAGGGUCUCGCGGCCUAUCAGCUAGUUGGCGGGGUAACGGCCCACCAAGGCAUCGACGGGUAGCUGGUCUGAGAGGACGAUCAGCCACACUGGGACUGAGACACGGCCCAGACUCCUACGGGAGGCAGCAGUGGGGAAUAUUGCGCAAUGGGCGAAAGCCUGACGCAGCAACGCCGCGUGCGGGAUGACGGCCUC
This 398-nucleotide ribosomal RNA is filed under the name uncultured bacterium. RNAcentral describes it as "bacterial SSU rRNA". It matches the Rfam family "Bacterial small subunit ribosomal RNA", at positions 28 to 418 of the family's 1533-position model. The record is from RNAcentral.